UACGUAGGGUGCGAGCGUUAAUCGGAAUUACUGGGCGUAAAGCGCGCGCAGGCGGUUUGCUAAGACAGGUGUGAAAUCCCCGGGCUUAACCUGGGAACUGCGCUUGUGACUGGCAGGCUAGAGUACGGUAGAGGGGGGUGGAAUUCCUGGUGUAGCAGUGAAAUGCGUAGAUAUCAGGAGGAACACCGAUGGCGAAGGCAGCCCCCUGGGCCUGUACUGACGCUCAUGCACGAAAGCGUGGGGAGCAAACAGGAUUAGAUACCCGGGUAGU
Molecule: ribosomal RNA, 271 nt
Filed under: uncultured prokaryote
Description: partial 16S ribosomal RNA
Rfam family: Bacterial small subunit ribosomal RNA
Source: RNAcentral